UACGAAGGGGGCUAGCGUUGUUCGGAAUUACUGGGCGUAAAGGGCGCGUAGGCGGUGUGUCAAGUCAGGCGUGAAAGCCCCGGGCUCAACCUGGGAACCGCGCUUGAGACUGGCACGCUCGAGUUCGGGAGAGGAUGGUGGAAUUCCCAGUGUAGAGGUGAAAUUCGUAGAUAUUGGGAGGAACACCGAUGGCGAAGGCAGCCAUCUGGACCGACACUGACGCUGAGGCGCGAAAGCGUGGGUAGCAAACAGG
RNAcentral lists this ribosomal RNA (253 nucleotides) under uncultured bacterium. RNAcentral's name for it is "partial 16S ribosomal RNA". It matches the Rfam family "Bacterial small subunit ribosomal RNA", at positions 524 to 776 of the family's 1533-position model. The record is from RNAcentral.